RNAcentral lists this small RNA (563 nucleotides) under Pan troglodytes (chimpanzee). Its description in RNAcentral is "processed transcript". Lineage: Eukaryota; Metazoa; Chordata; Mammalia; Primates; Hominidae. The record is from RNAcentral.
GGCUUGCUCGGCGGAGCAAGAUGGCGGACAUCUCCCUGGACGAACUCAUCAGGAAGCGCGGGGCGGCGGCGAAAGGACGCCCAGUAGAUGGUGUCUGCCUUCCUUAGAGACACUCUGUGUUAAUCAUUGAGCCUCUCCAAACCUGCUUCUCCCACUGUAAAGUGGGCAUAGCUUAAUGCCAGACCGGGAGUUGGAGGUGUCCGAUCUCGAGUUGGGAUCCAGCAAGGCCUUCUCAGCCAGUCAACACGCACAGCCACCUUCCAACAGAGAUUUGAUGCCCGGCAGAAGAUUGGCCUCUCAGAUGCCCGGCUCAAACUGGGAGUCAAGGAUGCCCGGGAGAAGCUUUUGCAGAAAGAUGCCCGAUUUCGAAUCAAAGGGAAAGUGCAGGAUGCCAGAGAGAUGUUGAACUCUCGCAAGCAGCAGACCACGGUGCCCCAGAAGCCCCGCCAGGUUGCUGAUGCCCGGGAGAAGAUCAGCUUGAAGAGGAGUUCCCCUGCUGCCUUCAUAAACCCACCCAUUGGGACAGUGACCCCUGCUCUGAAGCUCACCAAAACCAUCCAGGU